GGCCCCAUAGUCUAGUGGUAACGACAUUGGACUUUGAAUCCAAGAGCCUGAGUUCGAAUCUUGGUGGGGCUCUCA
This 75-nucleotide transfer RNA is filed under the name Marchantia polymorpha subsp. ruderalis. RNAcentral describes it as "tRNA-Gln". It matches the Rfam family "tRNA". From Rfam's summary of the family: Transfer RNA (tRNA) molecules are approximately 80 nucleotides in length. The record is from RNAcentral. Lineage: Eukaryota; Viridiplantae; Streptophyta; Marchantiopsida; Marchantiales; Marchantiaceae.